UACGUAGGGUGCGAGCGUUAAUCGGAAUUACUGGGCGUAAAGCGUGCGCAGGCGGUUUGCUAAGACAGGUGUGAAAUCCCCGGGCUUAACCUGGGAACUGCGCUUGUGACUGGCAGGCUAGAGUACGGCAGAGGGGGGUGGAAUUCCUGGUGUAGCAGUGAAAUGCGUAGAGAUCAGGAGGAACACCGAUGGCGAAGGCAGCCCCCUGGGCCUGUACUGACGCUCAUGCACGAAAGCGUGGGGAGCAAACAGGAUUAGAUACCCUGGUAGUCCACGCCCUAAACGAUGUCGACUAGUCGUUCGGAGCAGCAAUGCACUGAGUGACGCAGCUAACGCGUGAAGUCGACCGCCUGGGGAGUACGGCCGCAAGGUUAAA
This 376-nucleotide ribosomal RNA is filed under the name uncultured bacterium. Its description in RNAcentral is "bacterial SSU rRNA". It matches the Rfam family "Bacterial small subunit ribosomal RNA", at positions 524 to 898 of the family's 1533-position model. The record is from RNAcentral.